AUUCAAACUCCAAAUCUACCACAACCACACAAAUCGAACUAUUCCCAACAGCAAAACCUAAAGCCAAACCAGUCCAGGACCAAAACAGACAAAUCUAAAACUCCGACACACUGACCCCUCCCUCACGGGCCUUAAGCCGAACACGUCUCACGGGCGAACCCAACCCGUGAAUUGGCCACAUCGAAAAGCACCCUAUGGUUCUGCUGCUGCAUGCUGGCAAUCACGUUCAGCACGGAGUUCACAUUGUCCGGUGCCCCCGCCAUCGCCAGACAACUAAGAUCGCCGGACGAGCUAUGAAUCAGCACAUUAUCCGCCGGCAGCGUCACGUUCAUCCCGGCAAACAAGAACGUUAUCGCCGGCGCCACUAUCGGCCCAGUGAAGCAUGUAUCAAACCCACCUAGCGAGCUCACGGUCCCUUUCACCCGACGGCGAAACUCGUCCCUGACUGCAGUGUAUGCAGGCGCAACGAGACGCGUGAACAUGGUGCCAGAAUCUAUGAUCGUGCCGGCACCGGUGGCGGCGUCGAAUGCUAAAGCGGAUGGUGGGAUAUCGACGACGCGACGCCCGACACGGAUGCCGAUGAGGUUGACGUAGUAGAGGGAGGGGCGGCGGGGGUUGGAGAGGAGAGGGGUGGUCUUGAUCCGCUGCGGUUGGCCGGUGGGCCCAAGACGGAGAGUUCCAGAGAAGUUGAGUGAGCGGAUGUUAGGGAGGCAGUAUGAGAAGAUGCCGCCGUAUAGGGUUUUGCUCUGGGAGAGGAAGGAGAGCUGGCCGCGGCCGAGGCCCAGGAGCCCCUGCGGCGGAACGGAGCUGCCGGUGACGCGGCGGAGGCAGCCGAAGGUGUAGGGGGCGACGGUGUCGGUGGAGAGAGCUAAGGAGUCUUGCACGAGGUCGGCGGCGAUGGAGGAGGAGCCGUAGGUGAGGUUGAAAGAGCAGGAGGUGAUGGAGCAGGAGGGGUUGGGGACCUGGGCGCAGGCAGGGGAGCCGCAAGGGACGGGGCGGUAGGAGGCGGAGAGCUCGGUGGUGAAGACGGCGGAGGACUGCGUCGGGCAGCCGGCGCAUUUGGAGCAGGGGAUCCAGGCGGCAUCGCUGCUGGUGUCGAGGGCGACGAGGAGGGGCUGUGGGGGGCUGCCAAAUUGGGCGCGGGCGACGUAGAUAGGGGUUUGGAUUAGUUGGCGGCCUGAGGCGACGGGGACGAAUGAGCGGCGUGCGGUGGCGAGGGAGGUGAGGUAUUGGAGGCGAGAGUUGUCGUGGAGGAGAGUUUCGACAAUGGAAGUGGCCGCCGGGCCAUGAAAGAUGUCGACGGUGGAGGCGGAAAGCGGGGCGAUGAGAAGAGGGAGGAGGACAGAGAGGAGGAGGAGGAGGAGG
RNAcentral lists this unclassified non-coding RNA (1365 nucleotides) under Hevea brasiliensis (rubber tree). Lineage: Eukaryota; Viridiplantae; Streptophyta; Magnoliopsida; Malpighiales; Euphorbiaceae. The record is from RNAcentral.